CAGCCGCCGCGGGAAAACGGAGGGGGCUAGCGUUGUUCGGAAUUACUGGGCGUAAAGCGCACGUAGGCGGCUUGGUAAGUUAGAGGUGAAAGCCCGGAGCUCAACUCCGGAAUUGCCUUUAAGACUGCCGAGCUAGUAGGUGAGAGAGGUAAGUGGAAUUCCGAGUGUAGAGGUGAAAUUCGUAGAUAUUCGGAAGAACACCAGUGGCGAAGGCGGCUUACUGGCUCAUACUGGACGCUGAGGUGCGAAAGCGUGGGGAGCAAACAGGAUUAGAUACCCGGGUAGUCCCUGUCUCUUAUAC
RNAcentral lists this ribosomal RNA (301 nucleotides) under uncultured bacterium. RNAcentral describes it as "partial 16S ribosomal RNA". It matches the Rfam family "Bacterial small subunit ribosomal RNA", at positions 509 to 807 of the family's 1533-position model. The record is from RNAcentral.